GGCUAACUACGUGCCAGCAGCCGCGGUAAGACGUAGGAUGCAAGCGUUGUCCGGAUUUAUUGGGCGUAAAGAGUUCGUAGGUGGUUUGUUAAGUUUGGUGUUAAAGAUUGGGGCUCAACCCUGAAACUGCACUGAAUACUGGCAGACUCGAGUGUGGUAGAGGCUAGUGGAAUUCCCAGUGUAGCGGUGAAAUGCGUAGAUAUUGGGAAGAACACCGGUGGCGUAGGCGACUAGCUGGGCCAUAACUGACACUGAGGAACGAAAGCCAGGGGAGCGAAUGGGAUUAGAUACCCCAGUAGUCCUGGCCGUAAAACGAUGGAUACUAGGCGUAUCGGGUAUCGACCCCUGAUGUGCCGCAGCUAACGCGAUAAGUAUCCCGCCUGAGUAGUACGGCCGCAAGG
Molecule: ribosomal RNA, 401 nt
Filed under: uncultured bacterium
Lineage: Bacteria
Description: bacterial SSU rRNA
Rfam family: Bacterial small subunit ribosomal RNA
Source: RNAcentral